Molecule: non-coding RNA, 81 nt
Organism: Tupaia belangeri (northern tree shrew)
Lineage: Eukaryota; Metazoa; Chordata; Mammalia; Scandentia; Tupaiidae
Source: Rfam
GACUCUCACUGUGAAAGCAACCUGGGUGAAGCCUUCAGGAAAGGGAGCACUGUUUAGAGAGAAGGCCUUCUCUACGUGUCA